GACGUAGGGCGCGAGCGUUGUCCGGAUUUAUUGGGCGUAAAGAGCUCGUAGGCGGCUUGUCGCGUCGAAUGUGAAAACUCGGGGCUCAACUCCGAGCUUGCAUUCGAUACGGGCAGGCUAGAGUUCGGUAGGGGAGACUGGAAUUCCUGGUGUAGCGGUGAAAUGCGCAGAUAUCAGGAGGAACACCGGUGGCGAAGGCGGGUCUCUGGGCCGAUGACUGACGCUGAGGAGCGAAAGCGUGGGGAGCGAACAGG
This 254-nucleotide ribosomal RNA is filed under the name uncultured bacterium. RNAcentral's name for it is "partial 16S ribosomal RNA". It matches the Rfam family "Bacterial small subunit ribosomal RNA", at positions 524 to 776 of the family's 1533-position model. The record is from RNAcentral.